RNAcentral lists this ribosomal RNA (538 nucleotides) under Graeffea crouanii. RNAcentral describes it as "partial large subunit ribosomal RNA". Lineage: Eukaryota; Metazoa; Arthropoda; Insecta; Phasmatodea; Phasmatidae. The record is from RNAcentral.
AGAGAGUUCAAGAGUACGUGAAACCGUUCAGGGGUAAACGGGAGAAAUCCUGAAUUCGAAGGGGAUUGGAUUCAAUUCCGCCCGGCUGUGCAGGCCACCUGGCCCCACCAGAUGGCGCUGGUCGCCCACGGUGAUUUAUUUCACUUGUGGUGUCGUUCCCGGCGAUCACUCGGUGGGGUGGUGUCGCUCUGUCACCGGAGGAGUGCACUUCCCCCCUUGCAGAAACGUCGCGACCCAUUGGGUGCCGGUCUAAGGCUCGGGAUGGCAGCCCACACGUCCUUUGUUUACUCAUAGGCAUGUGGACCCCUGUUGACCCGGCCGGCUACUCGAUGGUAUGACCAGAGGAGUCGAUCCGCUGAAUGGAAACACUGUGGUUGUGUAGCGUCCGGCCCGGCGCCGACACGUGCGGGGAAUGUGGUGUAAACCAGAGGUGCCCGUGCAGAAGCACGGCCCUGGCCCCGCUGCGUUGUUGGAAUUGUCGGUGUCCUCGGACUGGAUCAGCACUCCCGUCGGCGACGCCCACCUUCGGAUGGUCUCC